Long non-coding RNA from Solanum dulcamara, 808 nucleotides. RefSeq lists it as uncharacterized. Lineage: Eukaryota; Viridiplantae; Streptophyta; Magnoliopsida; Solanales; Solanaceae. The transcript is spliced from 3 exons. The record is from RefSeq and is a predicted model, not a curated record.
UCUAAACCCUAAUCAGUUUUUGUUUUUGCCGGCCGUCGCCCCCAACUCUCCGCUUUCUCUCCCUUUUAAUCAAUAAAUCCUAACAAUCGUCUUCAAGCACUGACUAUUCACCUGUGAAUUUGUAUAUUCUUUCCAUUUUCGAACCCUUUUUUCACUUUCUUUUUCAUCCUUGUCAUCUAAUGUUAGAUUUGGAUUAAAAAUACAUAGAUUUGAGAGGACAUUUCGACAACAAUUGGUCCAAAAGAGGAAAGAAAAUGAAGAUAUCGGGAUAUGGAUCAAAUUAUUUAACUACUAGUUAAAUAGGGGGAAAACGAAUAAGAAGAUUACAAAGUGGAGAAUCGAACUCUCACCAACAAGGUUUCAGAAUUUCAGGAAAGCGGAGUGCUUUCUCCUCAAGAGCAUGAAUCGGAGCUUCAAAAUUCAACUGAGUAAGAAGCCGAAGAUGAAGAUGGCUGCCAAAUUGGCCGUUAUAACAGGCAUUUUCAAUUAGCACAGGAUACACAAGGACGCUCAAGGGAAGGAAUUUGAGUCAAGUAAGGGACUCAGUUCUAAGGAUGACUGGUUUUAUCGAAACGUGACAUUAAUUAGAAGUAGAGGAAUAUUAGUUAGCAAGAAAAAAAUAGGUAUAGAAAAGAGACAAAAAAAAUUAUUUUUUUCCUUAUUUUUUUCUUAGUAAAUGUAACAUUGAUGGACUACCAAUUCCAUUUCUCCAUCACUGUACUAGAAAGUUGAAAAUUUUGAUGAUGAUUUAGUUUAUUUGAUUCUCGAAAAAAUUGUACAUGUUAUUAGGUUCAUAGGGAGAAUAUUA